AUCUAUGUUUUUUUAAUUAUUUAUUUAAAUCAAUUUGUUUGAAAGCAUUAAAAAAAUUUUUAAGGUAAGAUUUGUUUUCUACUUUAAAAAAUAGUUUUUUAAACUUUCUUAUUAACAAUCAUUGCUUUUUGAUGUAGCUUUUUAAUAAAUAAUUCAAAGUAUUAAGACAGUGUUGUCAUUAACAUAAUACACUGGUGUACUUUAAUAUUUUAUAAUUUGAAAAUUUAAACAUUAUGUUCUCUAAUAAAAUUUAGAAAAUAGAUGGAACAACUACUUGACAGUGAAUAUUAAAUGUUUUUGAACAAAUUUUGUUAAUAUUUUUCAAAUGAGCUCAAAAAAAGGAAAACAGAAGCGGAAAAUAAACAAUUUAGUAGUCAAUGGGGAAAAGAAUAUUUUUUUCAUAUGCCAAAACUCAUAGUUGAUUUGUCUCAUCCACAAAGCAAAUAUUGCUGUUUUUAAAGAAUAUAAUGUUAGAAAACAUUAUAAAACUGUUCAUCUUGAAUACUCACAGUUCAGUAAAGAUGGAAGGAAAAUGAAGUUAAAUAAAUUCAAAUCUGACUUUAAAAAUGAACAAACGAUAUUCAGUUUAAUGUUUCAACAACCGUCAAAUAUUGUUCAAGCAAGUUAUUCAGUUGCUUUUUACUUGCAAAAAAAAAAAUUAAACAAUUUUCAGAUGGUGAACUUGUGAAAGAGUGUUUAUCAGCUGCUGUAAAAGAUAUUUUACCAGAAAAAAGUGAGCCGUUCUCAAAAGUGUCUUUGUCACGUCAGACUAUAUACCGCCAUACUAAAGAAAUUUCAGAUGAAAUUCAGUUAUGCUUACAAGAAAAACUACAAAACUUCAAAUUUUAUGCUCUGGUUUUUAUGAAAGCACUGAUAUUUCUGACAUAUCUCAACUUGCUGUAUUUGUUCGUGGAAUAAAUUAAUGAAUCGUGUCAAAUUACUGAGAAAAUGCUAAGUCUUGAAACCUUGAAGAAUACAGUUACAGGUUGAGACUGUUCCUGAAAAUCUACAAAUGGAAAUUAUUGAACUGCAGUGUAAUAUGGAACUUAAACUUCUUUUCGAAAAAACUUCAAGGUUUAAAUAGAGAGAGGACGAAAACAAGGACAGACAAAGAGAUGAGGGAUCAGGGAUUGAAUGGGGUUGACAGUGAAGGAUGAAGGUUUUAAAAAUUACAAAAAUCAUAUUAACAAAGUAAAACAUCGAAUGUUAAAACAAAGGUGAAGAGAAGGACGUGGCUGACCCCACAAACCACGUUCUCACACUGAAGACUUUAUUUUUUCCCUUUUGUGUACUCGCUUAAACAGGUUCUUCCACUCUCAACACGCCACAGACUUCCAUCUUUUCCGAAACACACCGUGUGACAGGCAUUUCUUCUCCAGCCUUAUUUUUCCUUUCAUAUGGGAAAGGAAAAAGUCAACCAACCCAAAGCUGGAGAUAAAAAUGCCCGGCACAAUCCCUUUCAAUUUCGUCUUCCACACUACCUCUUUCGCAAUAGCUACUACCGAGAGAAAACAGGCCUGCUCUUCCUUGUUAAGGGAGGGCAGCGGAACGAUCUUAAUUAUAGAUUCGGACGACAGUUGUAGUCUUCUUAGAUGUGACAGCAGAUGUUCGACUUAAGCCCAGAGUUCCGAAAUCUUCGGACAUUGUACAAUUGCGUGCAGAACAUGUUCACUAUCCUGCUCGCAUCUUGGACAAGCCGGCGAAGACGCAGAACCAUGUCUAAAGAGCUUAUCCCGAACAAGUAAAGCACCUCUGUAACAACACUGCCAUGCCAAGGACUUCUGGUAAUUGUCCAUAGGCCCUGGCCUGAAUGUUCGUCGGUACAGGCUGGCGAGUUGACCUUCGUCGAAGC
This is a long non-coding RNA of Octopus bimaculoides (California two-spot octopus), 1852 nucleotides long. RefSeq lists it as uncharacterized. NCBI's taxonomy places the organism in Eukaryota, Metazoa, Mollusca, Cephalopoda, Octopoda, Octopodidae. The record is from RefSeq and is a predicted model, not a curated record.